AUUGAAUGCUGGCGGCAUGCCUUACACAUGCAAGUCGAACGGCAGCACGGGUGCUUGCACCUGGUGGCGAGUGGCGAACGGGUGAGUAAUACAUCGGAACGUACCUUAUCGUGGGGGAUAACGCAGCGAAAGUUGCGCUAAUACCGCAUACGCCCUGAGGGGGAAAGCGGGGGACCGUAAGGCCUCGCGCGAUUAGAGCGGCCGAUGUCUGAUUAGCUUGUUGGUGAGGUAAAAGCUAACCAAGGCGAUGAUCAGUAGCUGGUCGGAGAGGACGAUCAGCCACACUGGGACUGAGACACGGCCCAGACUCCUACGGGAGGCAGCAGUGGGGAAUUUUGGACAAUGGGGGCAACCCCGAUCCAGCAAUGCCGCGUGAGUGAAGAAGGCCUUCGGGUUGUAAAGCUCUUUUGUCAGGGAAGAAACAGCAGCUCUAACACAGUCUGCGAAUGACGGUACCUGAAGAAUAAGCACCGGCUAACUACGUGCCAGCCGCCGCCGUAA
Molecule: ribosomal RNA, 501 nt
Filed under: uncultured bacterium
Lineage: Bacteria
Description: partial 16S ribosomal RNA
Rfam family: Bacterial small subunit ribosomal RNA
Source: RNAcentral